GUNUGAANUCAGAUCACGUAAGAUUUAAANUCGNACAGACUUAUANNUUAAGNUNCUGCNCCUAAAUAUAUUUCUUAAUCCAACAUCGAGGUCGUAAUCUUUUUUAUUAAUAAGAACUCUCCAAAAAAAUUACGCUGUUAUCCCUAAAGUAACUUAAUUUAAUAAUCAAUAAUAAUGGAUCAANAUUUCAAAAAUAAUUGUAAAAUUAAUUAAAAGUUAAUUAAAUUUUAAUAUCACCCCAAUAAAAUAAUAUAAAUAUAUUGUAUUAAAAUUUAUCUAUAAAAAUAUAAUAAUUUAAUUAUAAAGAUUUAUAGGGUCUUCUCGUCUUUUAAAAAAAUUUUAGCUUUUUUACUAAAAAAUAAAAUUUUAUUAUAAAUUUAUAUGAAACAGUUAAUAUUUCGUCCAACCAUUCAUUCCAGCCUUCAAUUAAAAGACUAAUUAUUAUGCUACCUUUGCACAGUUAAAAUACUGCGGCCAUUCAAUNUAAAUCAANGGNCAGGUNANACUUNAANUNAANNNCUAAAAGACANGUUUUNGNUAAAC
Molecule: ribosomal RNA, 543 nt
Filed under: Jassidophaga sp. B
Lineage: Eukaryota; Metazoa; Arthropoda; Insecta; Diptera; Pipunculidae
Description: partial 16S ribosomal RNA
Source: RNAcentral